CCCUUUAGCCUGGAAUAACUCUUCGAAAGAAGAGCUAAUACCGGAGAGACCACAAGGACAUCAGUCCGAGGGGUUAAAGGUGGGGACCGCAAGGCCUACCACUAAAGGAUGAGCCCAUGCACUAUCAGCUAGUUGGUGAGGUAAUGGCUCACCAAGGCUAUGACGGUUAGCUGGUCUGAGAGGAUGAUCAGCCACACUGGAACUGAGACACGGUCCAG
This 218-nucleotide ribosomal RNA is filed under the name uncultured bacterium. Its description in RNAcentral is "partial 16S ribosomal RNA". It matches the Rfam family "Bacterial small subunit ribosomal RNA", at positions 129 to 334 of the family's 1533-position model. The record is from RNAcentral.